RNAcentral lists this microRNA precursor (63 nucleotides) under Ciona intestinalis (vase tunicate). RNAcentral describes it as "microRNA cin-mir-4062 precursor". Lineage: Eukaryota; Metazoa; Chordata; Ascidiacea; Phlebobranchia; Cionidae. The record is from miRBase by way of RNAcentral.
CGCCUGCAUCUUUACAGCUUCAAGUGCUGCGUUGUAUUGACUGAAUGCUGUAAAAUAAAGGCA